GCUAAAUUCUGUUCCUGAAGCUGUCAAUGCUGUUGCAAGUGAUCUCAUUUGCUCUAAUCUCCUUUCAGGAUCUUCACUUGGAUUGAAAGGCAAUAACUUUCUUUUCUUUUUCGACAUGACUAAGCUGCUAGACCGCUUUCUUUUCUUCAGGCUAUCAUGACUUAGCUUCCCAGUCGAUUCUGGGGACCUUUGAAUGCGAAAGAAAUCAAUGAUUUUGGUUUGAACGAGAGGGAAGGACUUGGGUUUUUUGCAGUCGGAGCAAGAAGGACAAAACCAAGACCCUUUGGGCACGGAAACGAGUAUGGGUCUUAAGCAAAAGAGAUGAUACCCUCUGUCACAUUUGUCACAAAGAAGCAGUUCAGCCGGAGAAUGGCCGGACCCACAUUCCAUGCAGCAAACGUCGUCGUAUUCGGUGGCAUGAUCUGCAUAUAGAGAGCGAGAGAGAGGGUUUGGAGCUUGAGUUCUGCGCCUAAGUGCCAUUACCGUUGUGGUUUUGGUUUUUGCUGAA
This 508-nucleotide unclassified non-coding RNA is filed under the name Hevea brasiliensis (rubber tree). The record is from RNAcentral. Lineage: Eukaryota; Viridiplantae; Streptophyta; Magnoliopsida; Malpighiales; Euphorbiaceae.